CCUACGGGUGGCUGCAGUGAGGAAUAUUGGUCAAUGGGCUUACGCCUGAACCAGCCAAGUCGCGUGAGGGAAGACUGCCCUAUGGGUUGUAAACCUCUUUUGUCAGGGAGCAAUUGGCGCUACGUGUAGCGUUAUCGAGAGUACCUGAAGCAAAAGCAUCGGCUAACUCCGUGCCAGCAGCCGCGGUAAUACGGAGGAUGCGAGCGUUAUCCGGAUUUAUUGGGUUUAAAGGGUGCGCAGGCGGUCUGUUAAGUCAGCGGUCAAAGCCCGGGGCUCAACCCCGGCCCGCCGUUGAAACUGGCAGUCUCGAGUUGGAGAGAAGUAUGCGGAAUGCGCGGUGUAGCGGUGAAAUGCAUAGAUAUCGCGCAGAACUCCGAUUGCGAAGGCAGCAUGCCGGCUCCACACUGACGCUGAGGCACGAAAGCGUGGGUAUCGAACAGGAUUAGAUACCCCUGUAGUC
This 460-nucleotide ribosomal RNA is filed under the name uncultured bacterium. RNAcentral's name for it is "partial 16S ribosomal RNA". It matches the Rfam family "Bacterial small subunit ribosomal RNA", at positions 338 to 795 of the family's 1533-position model. The record is from RNAcentral.